This 77-nucleotide transfer RNA is filed under the name bacterium. RNAcentral's name for it is "tRNA-Arg". It matches the Rfam family "tRNA". From Rfam's summary of the family: Transfer RNA (tRNA) molecules are approximately 80 nucleotides in length. Their secondary structure includes four short double-helical elements and three loops (D, anti-codon, and T loops). The record is from RNAcentral.
CCACCCUUAGCUCAACUGGAUAGAGCAACUGCCUUCUAAGCAGUAGGUUGCAGGUUCGAGUCCUGCAGGGUGGGCCA